AUAGUACUCCAGCAAAAGCAGCUGAACUUGUAACAGUCACCAGCUGGCACACAUUGAAAUAGCUCAGCCUCAUUCUCCAGCUGAGAUCCAGCACAGCUGAUCUUGGUGUAGGGCAUAAAUCUGCAUAGAGCUCACAUGUGGCCCUUCUAUGCUGGGGGUAGAUGUACUCGAUCCUCUGGGCUUGGGAAGGUCUUGGCAAAUGUGGAUUUUUCUCCUUUUGCAGAGGCUUUUGGAGGUUCUGAAAAACCAGACAACAUCAGCUGCUGCACCUUUUGCCCCCUACAGGACACAGACACUGUCCAGGGCAAAGUGCAGCUGGAGCCUAGAGAAGGAUGCGCCUUCACCAGGGCAUUUACCAGCGCUGCUCAGAGCUUCAGCAAGACGGAAAAGCCCCCUGCAAAGCAAACCAAGGGCUGCCGUGGAGAAGAGAGAAGCAGCACGUCCUGGAUGGAUCUGUCACAUGCCUUCCUGCCUCGAGGCCCCCAGGUUGUGAGGGUACGUCCCUCCCUGCAGGCUGAAUUCUUCCCUCUGGAGCACAGGGAGGUUCACAGUAGGGUUGCAAGAGAUGUGAGCCCGGUGUCAGGUCACCAUGACACAGUGUCAGACAACACAGACCUCGUCUUGUUCCAUGAGUCCCCGUAAAACAAUGCCUCCAGCCCCUGAGAUUUAUUAUUGAGGGUUAUUAAUUCCUCAGGUUGUGAAAAUACAGGAUAACAAACAGAUUCUGGCAUACUUUGCUCAUUUUUUUCUCUCUCCUUCCUAUUCCCUCCCUGUUUGCGUGAUUCCUGAGCAUGAUAAUGUAGUUUAAACACGAAUCCUAAAGUUUCAGAAACUUUGGAAGUCAUGGACAACUCCAUGUGCAGUCUGGAUCCUGGGAGAACUGCCUUCAGAGCCUUGUCCAUAAACUCUGUGUGUGGUCUCCGUGAAGUCAUUGGAAGUCCAGAUUUUUCCACCUAACUCAACUGCCUGAGUUAGGGGCCAAAGAUGAGAUUUGCUGCAACUCUCUUGAGCAGUUGAAAAGUGAGGUGACGAGGCAGGAUGGCCAACCACCGAGUGGCUCCAGAGAGAGACCCAGGUCUGUGGCGGCGUAAAUCACACCUUGGUGCUCACUAGCGGUACAGAGGGUAUAAGUUACCUCUUAUUCCUUCCCUAGCUAAUUUGGAGAAGAGUCCCAAUCUGGUAGGAUCUCAUAGGUAGGGGAGAUCUAUCCGGGUCUUAGAAACAAGUGCCAGGCUACGUUCUCAAGACCCCUGGACUGGCUCCAGGAGCAAAUUAUUAUCAGUCCCCAUGGCAUAGUGCUCGGCUGUAGUGUUUCCAGUCUGCUCGCUAUGACAGAGCCCUCUGUGAUGCAACAGGAACAAAAAACUCAGCUUCCUCCUGGCAUUUAGAAAGAGGUUAUAUGCUUUUAAGGACAGUGUCGAAAAGUUCUGAUAAAGAAAGAAGCUCAGAAGACGCGCCUUCCCCGCCCCGCGGGCCGCCGCCAUUUACCUCAUAUCAGGUGAGGCGGGCCGAGGGGGAGCGGCCUGGCCGCGGGGAGGCAGUGCUGGCCUGCCGCCUGUUGCCCUGUGGGAGCCGCGGCUGAGCCUCCGGGCUUUUCCGUGUUAAAAGCAGGAGUUAAAGCGUUUUAAAGAAUUGCGGUGUG
Long non-coding RNA from Anser brachyrhynchus (Pink-footed goose), 1642 nucleotides. The record is from Ensembl. Lineage: Eukaryota; Metazoa; Chordata; Aves; Anseriformes; Anatidae.